GAUGAAGAACGUAGCGAAAUGCGAUAAGUAAUGUGAAUUGCAGAAUUCAGUGAAUCAUCGAAUCUUUGAACGCAUCUUGCGCUCCUUGGUAUUCCGGGGGGCAUGCCUGUCCGAGCGUCAUUGCUGCCCUCAAGCACGGCUUGUGUGUUGGGCCUCCGUCCUCCUCCCGGGGGACGGGCCCGAAAGGCAGCGGCGGCACCGCGUCCGGUCCUCGAGCGUAUGGGGCUUCGUCACCCGCUCUUGUAGGCCCGGCCGGCGCUUGCCGACACAUCAAUCUUUUUUCCAGGUUGACCUCGGAUCAGGUAGGGAUACCCGCUGAACUUAAGCAUAUCAAUAAGCGGAGGA
RNAcentral lists this unclassified non-coding RNA (345 nucleotides) under soil metagenome. Its description in RNAcentral is "partial contains 5.8S ribosomal RNA, internal transcribed spacer 2, and large subunit ribosomal RNA". The stretch from base 1 to 120 matches the Rfam family "5.8S ribosomal RNA", at positions 35 to 154 of the family's 154-position model. The record is from RNAcentral.